AUUCUGUAGCCUAUGCUCGGAGGGCACAUGAGCAAGAGCUUGACCAUCUGUACCGUUGGUUGACUUGCUCUAUUAAGGGCUAUGAUUUCAGGUCGUCCUGCGUGUUUAGAGGAGGCGAGUGGAAUCUUGAGUCUCGGCUGGAGAAGGCAGAGCACGGGCAUGCAGACCUCAAAGCCUCAAACCUGCGUGUGAGAGGAGAAGUUGGCGAGCUCCAGCGUAUGGUCCACGGUUGGUAUUCUAGGAAGAUACAAGACAACAGCUUCUGCGAACCAGUAAGAGUGGCCUCAUUAGACAUUGGAUUUGCCAGUGACUUGAUCAUGGACUUCCCAGUCUCCAGGACUGUGAGUUAUAAAGGUCUUUCACCAUAUUUGCUGUCCUUGGGCAAGAUCAGAGUCAUCUUUGGAAGGAAAAGCAUCUCUGGAUUUUGUUAAAUACCAUCUUAGGAAAGUACUCUCUGCUCUUCAAAGUCAGCGACGACAUGAGUCACUGUUACAGAACCCACAGAAUGUGUCCCUUAAAAUACUGAGAAUGAACACUAUUUUACUGCCUGCAUAAUUAGCACUAGACAGGUGAAUUUAUUACUACUUCAUUAAAUAGAUGAGUUUAUUAACUCA
This 614-nucleotide long non-coding RNA is filed under the name Homo sapiens (human). RNAcentral describes it as "non-protein coding lnc-ZNF221-2:7". The record is from RNAcentral. Lineage: Eukaryota; Metazoa; Chordata; Mammalia; Primates; Hominidae.